Molecule: unclassified non-coding RNA, 82 nt
Filed under: Epilithonimonas lactis
Lineage: Bacteria; Pseudomonadati; Bacteroidota; Flavobacteriia; Flavobacteriales; Weeksellaceae
Description: Chryseobacterium halperniae Flavo-1 RNA
Source: RNAcentral
UCGCAGCCCGGCUUGAACGGAAAUCCUUUUUGCGAGGGGAAAAGCGCUGGCAAAAAGAUUGGGAGUGGAAGACGGAUAAAGC